UUUUUUCUGUUUAAAGCGUCGUCGCUGCCGCCUGGGGGAGCGAGGGUGUGCGGGCGGGUGGAGGCUAGGGGGGGCGGUCCCCGCCCCAGAUGCCCGCCCCGCCGGAACCCGCCGCCGCCGCGCUGGGCCCGCUCCAGCGAGCCCUCACCUGGGACCGCUGGCCGCCCCGCCGGAUUCCUCCGGGCGGGGCCGGGAGGCCCGCGCCCACCUCCGCCCCGCAGCAUCCAAGUGGGAAACCGAGGCUGGAGGCGGAAGAUGGGCCGGGCCCGGGGGUUGCUCGGCGGGUAGGAGGCCAGGUGGGGCUGGAACCCAGGGCUCCCAGCCCUGGCCCAGCCUCCUUUGCACAUGCGGGGGUCUCACCACCCCUCAGUCACUUCUCAUGAGUACCGGUCCACCGCUGCCCACUAGGACUCAAGGAGGGGGUACCCCUUCACCAGGCCCUCAGUGGGGGUCCCAGGAAGAAGUCCUUGGGGUCCUGAAGAAGAGUAGAUAGAGCAAAGUUUGAAAUCCAGCUUGCCUGCCAACCCCCAGUAAAUGGCUUCCCGGUGCCCACCCUGCCCCCGCCCCUCCGCCUUGUCUGGACGGGCUGGCUGGGCUGGCUCUGGGCCUCAGACACUCUGGAAUCGCCAAGGUCUGAGCUCAGGGCCUGGCCCCCUUCCCAGGCUAACAGCCGGGAGGAGGGGAGUGAUGCCUGAGGGCCUGGGGCUGGGGAGGGGCACAGCCGGGCCCCAGGGCAGGGGCUGGCAGGGACUGGGGAAGGGCCCUGAGUUGGGCCAAGGCUGGAGAGAAGCCAGGCCUGCCCACUGGUCUGGAAGGGAGGCCCUCGAGGGCUGCAGUGGCCUGGUGCCCAGGCCAUAUCACUGGGUACCUGGCCAGGGGAGACCCCCGAUUCAGUCUCUGACUCACAGAACUCAGCAGGGGGUGAGUAUGACCAAGGUACCUCCGGAGCAGGUCACAGCCAAGACAGGGUGAUACCCUCUCUCCGGGGGGAACAGGGGUUGCAGUCUGAAGGAAAGGGGGUUCAGGUACGUGACUUGAGGUACACCUGUGUAAGUAACUCAUGGCUUUAACUUUGAGGGUGGGCUUAUUUGGGGUGACCGAGGGAGACUUUUUAGUGGACCCCUGCCCAAAUUGCUCAGUGGGCUCAGGCCCUGUUCAGAUAGACAGGUGUUGGAGGAGUAAGAUCGGGGCAGUCCCGUGUCCCCAGGGGAGAUAGGAGGGUAUGUAGUAUGGACAGCCCCCACACUCCCUCAGGGGGGUCUCUGGUCACACAUUGAGGCCGGGAGUGGUACUGAUGCUCACCACCUGCCAGGCAUAGGGCUAAGCAUUUUCUGGUCAUUUUUCCCUCAUACUCAUCUGAACCUGACCCUCCUCUGCCUACAGUAAGAUGUGACUCACCUUGGAACACAGCAUAAACAGACUAGGGUUAGAGUCCUCAUCUCCGAGCCUGUUUUUUGACCUGUAAAAUGGGGAUCUAGUCAUUCGACAAACAAGGAACCUCUUGCAUGCUCUUUUUAAAAAACUAAUUAAUUAGGCUUCGCCGGGUCCUAGUUGCAGCAGGGAACUUUGAGUUGCAGCAUGUGGGGUCUAGUUCCCUGCCCAGGGAUCAAACUCAGGCCCUGCGCAUUGGGAGCGUGGAAUCUUAACAACUGGCCCAGGGAAGUCCCCAACAUGCACUUGUUAACAGGUAGAACCAAUCGCUGCUUUCCUGGAGCUUCUGUCCUGGAGGAGACAGACACGCGACAGAUCAACUCACACCUGACUGAGGCUGUGCCAGAGGAGCUGAGACAUGGCCAGCGGAGCAACAGGGUGGGGAGGCAGAGAGAGAGAGAGAGCAUCCGGAGGCGGAGGCGGGAGGCCACGGUCAGAGAGAGGAGGCAGAGUCUGAUGUGACUCAGAGGAGCAGCUGGAGGAAGCUGAGGGAAGAAAACCAGGAGUGUGAUGUCGGAGAGCCCAGAGAAGCAAGUGUUUUGGGAGGAGAGCAUGGCCAAGGGUGUCUAAUGCUGCUGACAGGAGGAUGGAGGAAGCACAACCUCGCCUCCAGCUCUUAGCACAUCGUGACCUGGCGGGCAAAGGGCACUGAUGUUUGUUGACUGAUUGGAUGGACUGAGACCACGAGGCUGUGAAAGAUGAAACAGUUAGACUCGGCUCAUCUGGCGAACAAGGAAGUAAAGCAGCCGACAUUCAUGAAACCCUCAGUAGAUGCUGGCCACACGUGAUGAAGAGCAUGAGAGAUGGGACUGGAAAACGAAAUGAAUCUGUCUUCAUGCUUGAGCAGCCAGAGGAUCUUCAGCCCCGCCCCUUGUCUCCACCUUCUGAAUCCAGGAAAAGUCCACCGGGGAGAAUCUGACUUGAGACAAGCGCGGCCUGGGUGGAGGCCCAGCCCUGCCACCUCCCAGCAGGGUGAUUGUGAAGAAAUCUCUUAACCUGUCCAGGCUUCAGCUUCUCCAUCUGCACUUUGGGGAUGAUAAGACACAAUUCACGGCGCUGUCCUGAGGCUUAAAGGAGGGUAAUUCAAGUUGUUAGCACAGUGCCUGGCCCCAAGAUAAAAUACACCAGAAGUUCCUCUGAGGGGCUGCUGACACCGACUGCCCUUUGAGCAUCCCCCUGUGAUGAUGGUACUAAAACAGGGACUAGGAGUUACUUGUCAACAGUGUGUAUGUUGGACUUGCAUUUGUGUUUAUUUACAUGUCAGUUACAGGCCUGAGAGAAAAGGUCUGGUCUUGCCUCUUUGGCACAGGUUCAGAAAUCUCACAUGGAUUGUGGAAAUACAAUUUCUGUUGUGUUUGAAAAAAAAUACACCAAAAGUUGAGUAUUAUUAUUUUUUAUUAGGCUAUUUCAUUCAUCUUAACUCAAUUAAAUUAUAUAUAUAUUUACAUUUUUA
This is a long non-coding RNA of Bubalus bubalis (water buffalo), 2884 nucleotides long. RefSeq lists it as uncharacterized. The record is from RefSeq and is a predicted model, not a curated record. Lineage: Eukaryota; Metazoa; Chordata; Mammalia; Artiodactyla; Bovidae. The transcript has 6 exons.